AGGACUAAAAAAUUAGCCACUCACAAAGCAGCAUUCGUCCAAGUCAUCUUGGCUUCUCAUUGUUUUUUUGGGCUCUGGACGUUCUGGGCCUGUUUGUUCUUUAGUCUAUAGCCCACAAACCCUUCAACGCUAAUUUGGAUCGUCGCAGUCGAGCUACGACUCUUGACUCUUGCACUCACCCUCAACGUUCCAAACAAGAAAUUCAUCCGUCUGCAACUCGCCCUUAAAGUGAAUUAAAGAUAUGCCCUCUAAAUCACUCAAUUCGAUUCUUUACUCAUUUCUUCGUGAGAUAUGGCAUCGUUCCAUCUCCCUUUCUUUCUCCUCCAAUAUAAACCCAGUUGUAAAUCUUACUUUCAACCAAAAUCUAAAAAUUCUGUGGAAGAACAUAAAGCUAUGGCCAUAAAAUCUGUUCAGUCCUACGGCGAGUCUCCACUGCUCAAUUUUCCGUCGACGUGUGAACCUUGGUUCUAUUAAUUCAGGUUACAUAUGAUUAACAAUUGAAGUCUCGAUGGAAAUUCCAAUGAUUCUAGACGGUUGAAUCAUCAAAAACUUCACUAACUCAGGUACUAUGCUCUAAUCUGAAACCAUGUUGUUCUGUUUGUUUCUUGGUGUCAUUGUUGGGUUCUGUUUCACCUCUCCGUUCGCAAGAGAGUUUAUUUGGGUGAAUAAUGGAGCGGUCCAGCCGCACCAGUGAAAAAGGUUUGCCUUCUGACAAUCGGACCCAUCACUUGAAUGGAUCAGUCCUCGAAUCAUAUUGAAUUAGCGUUUUGUGAAAAUUAGUUACCAAAACGUGGUGUUUGUAGUUUGAUUGUGGCAGUUAGUGUUGCGGGCGAAGGAAGUGAAUCUUACCCGGAACGACCCGACUAGCCCUUCGUCUUUUCAUUGUCGGCAAAAAAACCUAAAGUAAUCAAGGAUUUCCCGAGGUAGUCUGCAGAAUGGACAUGAUGGUAAACAAUAUUAUUUUUCAUUUCUAUGAGCAUACUACUUAAGUCAUAGUGUAAAGGUAAAUAUUGGUCGUGUCAUGGUUGUUUUGUGUUUUGUAUGUUUACACAAAAGCAAGAAAAAACUGAAGAUCCCACUAGACAGGUUAGAAUUAUUACAAUUACAAUUUCAAUCACAAGAACACCAUUCGUUUACACACCUUCCGACUUCUAUCAAAAGUCUUCUUGAUACUAUGUUAAACAUCUCUUCUUUUAGUAAUACCAAUAUAAAUAACAUUUGUUACUUUGUUGUUUUUGUUUCUUUGUGAAUGAAACAUUGUAAAUGUUUCAACUUGGUGUCAAGAUUGGAGAGAGAGUACUUAUACAGCAAUCUUGCGGGAAGUGAUCAAAGCUCGGGUGACGACUCUCAACAUAUCUGACAUUGUUCACAUAACCUUAACAAUGGGACAAUCACAUAUAAAGCAGAAGAACUGAAGUAAGGAUUAUCCAAAUUUGAAUCUAGACUCACAGAGGUAGAAGUGAAGCAGCUCAUGAAAGUUGGAUGGGCUAAUCUGAUUGCAUCAAGUUCAUUCCUGCAACAUUGCUUGAAAGUAUUGAGAAUCUUCACAAAGCCUUCCAGAAUUAGACAAAGACAGUAACAAAGACGAAUAAGAAGCUGUGCUGGAGGAAUAUGGAAUGGAAAUGAUGCAACAGUUAAAGAGGUUCCCUCAGAUGACAAUUCAUAUAACAUGAGCUUAAAAAAUGUCAUCAUCAUUUCUGGGUGCCGUUUUUGAUCAAUGUCUUUCUCCAGUUAAGUUCCUCUCACGGCAGAGCUUCACUUUGAUUGAAGAGAUAUUAUCCUUCACUUUUUUAUUUUUAUGAUCUUUUAAUGUAACACAUACUUCUCAUGUUAUAUGUCUUUAAUAUAGCAUCUGUAAUCUCUAUAACAUUAUGGACGACCAGUAUGCUCAUUUUGAACUAUGCAUGACAGCUCUUGCAUGGGCUGUUAACAAAAGGUUACUGAUAUGCUGAGAGAAUAGAAUGACUCAUUGAAUGCGUGAUGGAAAUUGAACUCCUCACAAGAAUACACGAACACUUGGUGUAUUUAAUAAAAAUUAUAAUUAGUUUCUUUUUAUGUUGUUGUCGUAUUAUUUUCAGAAAAUAAAAAGUUAUAGGUCUAAAAACAGUUUUUUUUUUUUUAAUAUUAGUAUGUGAUUUUAGAAACUAUAGAUUGAUUGCUUAGGAAUUAGGAGAAAUAAGACAAGUAAUUAACAGAUUUUUUACAGUUUGGUUUUGGGUUUAUAUAUUAUCCAAAUUCUUAUUGAACACGAAAGAUGUAAACUUUUUAAAAAUUCAAGUAAAACAAAAAACAAACAAAAACAAAUAAAUUUCUAACAUUGCUUGAUAAGGCUAAUGUAUAAACACAAAAUAGUUGGUAAUACUAUAAACAUAUAAUACAAUACUAAAAAAAUAUAUAAUUUGUUUUAUUGGUCUGUAGCAUCACUCCAUAAAGAGAACGAUGUUGAAAUUACAAAGUAGUUGACUGAAGAUAAAAUUUGAUUAAAUUUUUUUUUGGAAUAGAAGAUGGUUAUUAUUAACCUUAUUAACAUUUUCGAACUGUAACCAGUGGCCAAUCUGCAUAGGUUUUGGGAAGAGCAACUGCCACCUAUGAUUUUGUGGAAGUUGUUUAAAAACUUUUUAUGUUUGAUCUUUUUUAUAUGUUAUUUUAUAAGGUGAAUUGGUGAAAUAACAAAAAAAAAGUUGUAAAAAAACAGUUGUAGAAAGGAGAAGAGAUUUACAUACGAAAAUUGAAUUAUUUUUGCGGUUAGAAAGUGUAAUUUCUGUAUUUUAUACUUUUCUGUCCCGAAUGAAAAUAGAUUCUACAUCUGUUAGUGGUUGUAAUUUUCUAAGUUUUGAAAGAAGAUCACUAUUGUAAGUGUAAAUUCUGUAAAGUUCCUUUGUGAAAUGUGAAAAAAGUAUUAUAGUGAAAAUUCAGAUUAUCAAAUAUUUUUUACAUAUAGAAAGAAGAUUAAGUAAACAUUUCUGAUCUUUUACCUUCCAAUUUAUCAAUUAAAAAUAUUUUGUCUUUACAAAAGUUAUAGUGAAAAAUCAUCUCAUAUUUGAAAUUGGAGAAAAUUUUGAAGGCCAUGUUAAGUUUUUGGUUUUCAAAUAAUAUUCUGAUAUACUGAUUAACUUCAUGACUGUAUAACGUGAGCCAUCAUACAUUAGCUGUAUAAUAUAAUUUAUUUACAAAAUAGUAUAAUGAACAAUUAAAUAAGCAAAAUAACAUAAACAAUUUUUCAAAGCUUCCGUUUAAAAAGAUGAUUUUUUUCUAUCAGAAUUAUUUUUAUCUUAAAUUUUAUUUAAAAUUACACAUAUAUAGUUAAAAAUAACAAAAUAAAAAUACUAAGUUUUUAACUCAAUGUGACACAAAUAAAUUGAUGAUUCAAAAAUUGAAUGAAACAAAAAAUACGCCUAAAAUAAAAAAAAUCCUAGAAUUUUUAUAAUGAAAAAUUCCUAAAUUCUAAAUUAGCUGAUAUCUUAAGUAAAAUAACUAGCAUAUUGGUGAAUCUAUAAGAAUUACCAACAUUAUUGUAAUAUUAUAUUUUCAUACAAUACAAUUAAAUUCAUAAAAAAAUAUUAGAAGUUUCAAAUGGAAACUAAAUAUUAAAUACAAAAAAAACAUAUACAUCAUCCCACAUAAGAAAUAAGCAGAAUUCUAUAAAAAGGAAGAAAAAAAUAUUGUUCUCUACCAUCACAAUCUUUAUUGUCGUGCUUUUUAUUUGUUUCAUAAAAUAUAAUCCUAUUUUAAAACUAAAAAUUUGAUAUAUUGAACAAAAAAAUUUAAAGAAUAUUAUCCAUUUAUAAAUAAGUUAAAAUACAAAAUUUAUUGAAAUAUUAAAUUAACCAUAAUUAAGAAAAUAAGAUAAAACAAUAAAAGGUACAAUAUCAAAUAAUAAUAAAAUAGUAAACCGAUAAAAUUCAAAUAAAAAUUAUGUCUAUUCAAAAAAAUAGUAUGCCUUCAUUUGUAUUUAAAAUUUAAGUGAACUAAUUGCUUCUUUAAAAAUUUCAGGCUCUCUUUUCAUACAAUCUGCAUUACAUAUGCCUAUCAUUUCUUAGAAAUACUCUACCAUUUUAGUUCAGAUUUCUGUUUUUAUUCAUGGUAUCAACUUUUCCUCCUUUCAUACAGAAUUUAUCAAUUUUAAACAUGAUUCAAUCAUUAUUUCAGCUACCACACUCUUUCCUUACCGUACUCCACAUCACCAUAAAAUUUUAACUAUGGCAACCUUUCUCCACAUAUACUUAAAAUAAUCUAAUUUUUUAUGAUCCUACUAAAACCUUAGGAAUAUUUUAAAUAACAAGCUCCAUAUCUUCAAUUUUACCCGUCCAACAUUUAUUAAACAUAGCAACUAUAUUUUCUAAAUCUUUGAAGAUUUCUUUCUAAAUAAAACACAUUUUCCGCGCGUAGCGCGGAGAAAGACUCUAGUUUAUCUAACGAAAAGAAAGGAAAAACUAUAACUAUAUGUAUUUUGAAUUAAUGAUUCUCCUCUUUAAAGAUAUGGCAAUAUAGAAAACCAACUAAAAUAAUAAACUGACUAGAUAGUAACCCGCGCUUUGCGCGGGAUAAGAUGUCUAUAUUAAUGUUGAAAUUAUAUAUUAUGAUUAUGUAUAACAUAAAGUAUACUUUAACCGAUAGUUAGAUAGAGCUAAAAGUAUGAAUAUUAUCAGGGGUGAAGCUAUAGAAUUUUUUAUAAUGAGUUCACUAAUAUUAAAAUUUAAUAUACGGUGUUUGCAAGUUUGAGAAGAAGCUUUGGAAAAUAUUUUUUUAUAUUUCACCUAUCCUGUUGUAGUAGUUAUGGACUUAGGGGUUUAACACAUAAAAUCGAAAUAAAAGUGGAUCAAUGACAUAUUAUAAGCAAAACAAUAACUGUGUGAAAUAAAAAAAAAAGUAUAGCUCCUUUAAAUUCAAAAAAAAAAAUAGUUGCAUAAUAAAAGAAAUUGAAGGUUAUUUGACUCUCUAAAUUGUAAAUGUUGUUCUAGAUGCGACCAGCACGUGAGACUUGCUGGUGGUUCGUUCCUGGAAGUUUCUUCUCAUCUUCAAGGUCGUCUAAUGCAGAGCUCUCAUGGCGGCAAAAGUGGUAACACUCGGAUGCUUAUAUUGCUUGCUCGAGAAGACUAAUACGCUAAGCCGAAACGACUUACAGUGAUUCAGUCUCUUCGAAACAGAGAUCAACUCAUCGAGCAGUAACUAAAUCGAAUACGGCACAUUUAUCUUGAGAUAGAUUUUCAACGUUCUCUUUCAGCAAUGAGAGACGGUUCUCAAGAACGUGAGUGCUCUGCUAAAUGCAUGAAAGCAAGUAUGGAGAAAAGAGUUUUUUUCAUUAACACUUGGCAUUAUACUAAAGUUUCAUCGCUUUGUCGUCUCUACGGAUCUGUCGACUUAAUAGCGAUAGAUCAGAUGGGUUAGCGUUUUUAACAUAAACGUAUAGAGGAAUAAGGAAUCUUAAUUGAUGCUAUGAUUAUAUUGAGAAAAUUGAUAAAUCAAAUAAUCAAACUUGAAGCUGAAGGUUUAUCGUCGAGAAAAGUAUACAUGGUUUGAAUAUUUUUUAAAGGAAUGUUAGUGUGAACGCAUUAAAUGCACAGUUUUGGUGAAAAACGUUCUCUGCGUGACAGCUAAGCGUUUUACUAAAUAAAAGUUUCUCGUGAAACCACGUCACCACGUCACAUUCCUUGCCAAUAAACUUUUAAAGUAAGUUUUAAAAAUGCUUCUCCUUAUAUAGGGGAUCUUAUUUUGCAUACAAUAUAAUAGAUCCGGUUUAUUAAGGCAUUAAACCGGAAAUAAAUUUGGUGCCAUACAGUUAAAAAAAAUUUAUAUGGUCAAAUAAAACGUAUGAAUAUUUAUGUUUUUACGGCUGAUAUCUUGACCCAUCAUAUGAAUAUGGUCAAUUUCAAUAUAAUGUGCUCUAAAAAAAUAUGUAUGAUUUGCUAUUAAAUGUUUUCUAUGUUAGUUGAUUUGGAACAUGAAACCAUAAAAGGAAAUAUGUAUAUAUUUCGUGAAGGGAAUAGGUUAACAGGGGUUAUAAUAAUUGAAUUAAAGAUAUUAGUAUUAAAAAGUUAUUUUUGAUUGGUUGAAUUUGAAAGUGUAGAAAUUAACUAAAAAUUCUAAUAAGGAAAUGGUAUGCCAUUGUAAUUAACUUAAAAACUCAAGGACAAAAUCCUAGUUGAGAUUUUGCUUUAAUAUUAUAGAUUGAACUCUAAAAUUGGUAUAUAGAAAUUGAUUAUGUUCGAUGGACCUGGUAUUGUCAUAAUUAUAAUGAUAUAACUUUAAGACGAUAAUAGAUUUUGAUAUGCGCUUUAAAAGAGUGGGAUUAAUUUUUAUUCAAAACAUUAUUUACUGAGAAUUUAGAAAUUUUAUACAUAUGUAUUUUUAUAAAAGAUAUGUUUUUAAAAUAUAGAUAAUUAAAUUAAAAUUUACAUGAAUAUGAUUUUAUGAAAAAAAUGAGAGCUUUAAAUUAUAAUACAAAUUUAUUUUAUUACUAUCAACAACAAAUUUACAUGAAUAUGAUUUCAUUAAAAUUUACAUGAUAAUCCACCUGUAUUAAUUUUUCUUAUAUUUGAAAGCUUUAAAUUAUAAUACAAA
Long non-coding RNA from Brassica napus (rape), 6561 nucleotides. RefSeq lists it as uncharacterized. The record is from RefSeq and is a predicted model, not a curated record. The transcript is spliced from 4 exons. Lineage: Eukaryota; Viridiplantae; Streptophyta; Magnoliopsida; Brassicales; Brassicaceae.